CCUUGCAUAGUCUACUGGAAGUUAGCACAUUUUAAUUUGCUCAGGACUUUGUGUCUGUUGGCCAUCGUCACUAUAAGUGGGAUUGCUGGAGUAAGAGUAGCCUUCACUUCUUUGACCACCUGAAAGUUUAUGAAAUUAUGGGUGCUGUCAAUAUCAAUCAGAAUGAUUACCGUCUUGUUACCAGCUUCUUCUUGGAUCUUAAUAGUAUCAUGCUGAUUCUGUCCCACUAAGGCAUAGACUGCAGUCCCCAACUCAUUCUCCUCUUCUUCCCCCAUCAAGGUCUCCCCUUCUACUUCUUCCUCAUGUAAUAGGUGCUCAUUAAAAGACUCAUCUGUUUCUACUGCAACAUUAAUGGAAUGUGCUGAUUUCUAUGAACACUGGUGGCCGAAAUGGUAUUUCUCCCCACAUCUAAAGCAAAAAUCGAUUGUCCUUCUUUAUUCCCAUUGCUGCUUACUGACUCCUUGAGGCAAGUUUGGGUUUUUGGUAAUUAAAGACUUAAUACCUUCUCUUUGUACAAUUGAUCUAGGAGUAUGGUAGCCUGUUGAUUGUGUUAAGGUUGUUCUAUUGGUCAUCUUACUCUUUUUCCACAAAACUGAUAGUACUUGCUCAUAGAGCUUGACUUGUUCAUAUACUUCUUCUAAUAUUGUUAGAUGAGAUAGGUCAAUAAAUGAAACUAACUCUUUCUUUAGUCCGCUUAUGUAGCUUUCUAUAAAGUACUG
This 719-nucleotide long non-coding RNA is filed under the name Elaeis guineensis (African oil palm). RNAcentral describes it as "long non-coding RNA (EGUI_LNC019943)". Lineage: Eukaryota; Viridiplantae; Streptophyta; Magnoliopsida; Arecales; Arecaceae. The record is from RNAcentral.